GAUGAACGCUGGCGGCGUGCCUAAUACAUGCAAGUCGAGCGAACAGACGAGGAGCUUGCUCCUCUGACGUUAGCGGCGGACGGGUGAGUAACACGUGGAUAACCUACCUAUAAGACUGGGAUAACUUCGGGAAACCGGAGCUAAUACCGGAUAAUAUAUUGAACCGCAUGGUUCAAUAGUGAAAGACGGUUUUGCUGUCACUUAUAGAUGGAUCCGCGCCGCAUUAGCUAGUUGGUAAGGUAACGGCUUACCAAGGCAACGAUGCGUAGCCGACCUGAGAGAGGGAUCGGCCACACUGGAACUGAGACACGGUCCAGACUCCUACGGGAGGCAGCAGUAGGGAAUCUUCCGCAAUGGGCGAAAGCUUGACGGAGCAACGCCGCGUGAGUGAUGAAGGUCUUCGGAUCGUAAAACUCUGUUAUUAGGGAAGAACAAAUGUGUAAGUAACUAUGCACGUCUUGACGGUACCUAAUCAGAAAGCCACGGCUAACUACGUG
RNAcentral lists this ribosomal RNA (497 nucleotides) under uncultured bacterium. RNAcentral's name for it is "partial 16S ribosomal RNA". It matches the Rfam family "Bacterial small subunit ribosomal RNA", at positions 28 to 507 of the family's 1533-position model. The record is from RNAcentral.